This 468-nucleotide ribosomal RNA is filed under the name uncultured bacterium. RNAcentral's name for it is "partial 16S ribosomal RNA". It matches the Rfam family "Bacterial small subunit ribosomal RNA", at positions 28 to 507 of the family's 1533-position model. The record is from RNAcentral.
GAUGAACGCUGGCGGCGUGCUUAACACAUGCAAGUCGAACGGAAAGGCCCUGCUUUUGUGGGGUGCUCGAUUGGCGAACGGGUGUGUAACACGUGAGUAACCUGCCCUUGUCUUUGUGGUAACUUCAGGAAACUGGGGCUAAUACCGGAUAUGAUCUCUUGCUGCAUGGGGUGGGUUGGUAAGUUUCGGCUGUUGUGUCUGUACUCGCUGCUUAUCAGCUUGUUUGUGUGGUAGUGGCUUACCAAGGCUUUGACGGGUAGCCUGCAUGGGAGGGUGAACGGGCACAUUGGGACUGAGAUACGGACCAGAAUCCUACGGGAGGCAGCAGUGGGGAAUAUUGCAGAAUGGGCGGAAGCCUGAUACAGAAACGCCGCGAGCGGGAUGACGGCCUUCGGGUUGAAAACAGAUUUCGAAUGUGACGAAGAGUGAGUGACGGUAAUGGGUAAAGAAGCAACGGCUAACUACGUG